CGCCUGAAUUUUGUGUUUUUAAUCUGAUUUUUAGGGUUUUUCACCCAAAUUUUGGGUUUCCCGCCCGAUUUUUGGGUUUUUAAUCUCAAUUUUUGGGGUUUCUCACCCAAAUUUUGGGUUUCNNNNNNNNNNNNNNNNNNNNGGGAUGGGAGGGACAGGUGAGACUGGACAGGUGAGAUUGGACAGGUGAGAGGGAACAGGUGAGAUGGGACAGGUGAGGGCUCUGGGGAGGGACAGGUGAGGUGGGACAGGUGAGAUUGGACAGGUGGGACUGGGACAGGUGAGAUUGGACAGGUGAGAGGGAACAGGUGAGAUGGGACAGGUGAGGGCUCUGGGGAGGGACAGGUGAGGUGGGAGAGGUGAGGGACAGGUGAGAUGAGUGAGACAGGUGAGGGACAUCUGAGACCCCCCAGGUGUCCCUCACCUGUCCAGGUGUGUCUCACCUGCCCCAGGUGUCCCUCACCUGUCCAGGUGUGUCUCACCUGUCCCAGGUGUCCCUCACCUGUCCAGGUGUCCCUCACCUGUCCAGGUGUGUCUCACCUGUCCCAGGUGUGUCUCACCUGUCCCAGGGGUUCCUCACCUGCCCCAGGUGUCCCCCAGGUGUCCCUCACCUGUCCAGGUGUGUCUCACCUGCCCCAGGUGUCCCUCACCUGUCCCAGGUGUGUCUCACCUGUCCCAGGGGUUCCUCACCUGUCCCAGGGGUCUCACCUGUCCCAGGUGUUCCUCACCUGUCCCAGGUGUCCCUCACCUGUCCCAGGUGGGUCUCACCUGUCCCAGGGGUUCCUCACCUGUCCCAGGUGUUCCUCACCUGUCCCAGGGGUCUCACCUGUCCCAGGGGUUCCUCACCUGUCCCAGGUGUGUCUCACCUGUCCCAGGGCUUCCUCACCUGAAUUUGGGGGGGGUCUCAUCCAAAUUUUGGGUUUCUCACCUGAAUUUUGGGGUUUUAAUCUGAUUUUUGGGGUUUCUCACCCAAAUUUUGGGGUUUCUCAUCCAAAUUUUGGGUUUCUCGCCUGA
Molecule: long non-coding RNA, 1014 nt
Filed under: Cyanistes caeruleus (blue tit)
Lineage: Eukaryota; Metazoa; Chordata; Aves; Passeriformes; Paridae
Description: lncRNA (ENSCCEG00000003360.1)
Source: RNAcentral